Molecule: small nuclear RNA, 108 nt
Filed under: Sciurus vulgaris (Eurasian red squirrel)
Lineage: Eukaryota; Metazoa; Chordata; Mammalia; Rodentia; Sciuridae
Source: RNAcentral
GUGCUUGCUUCGGCAGCACAUAUACUAAAAUUGGAACGAUGCAGAGAAGAUCAGCAUGGCCCCUUGCGCAAGGAUGACACGCAAAUUCGUGAAGCAUUCCAUAUUUUU